ACCUUCAGCAACGGAUGUCUUGGCUCCCACAACGAUGAAGAACGCAGCGAAAUGCGAUACGUAAUGCGAAUUGCAAAACCUCGUGAGUCAUCAAGAUUUUGAACGCACAUUGCGCUCCCAUGAAAUGCAUGGUAGCAUGCCUAUUUGAGUGUC
This 153-nucleotide ribosomal RNA is filed under the name Licmophora paradoxa. RNAcentral describes it as "5.8S ribosomal RNA". It matches the Rfam family "5.8S ribosomal RNA". Rfam says of the family: 5.8S ribosomal RNA (5.8S rRNA) is a component of the large subunit of the eukaryotic ribosome. It is transcribed by RNA polymerase I as part of the 45S precursor that also contains 18S and 28S rRNA. Lineage: Eukaryota; Bacillariophyta; Fragilariophyceae; Licmophorales; Licmophoraceae. The record is from RNAcentral.